Drosophila bipectinata is the source of this 352-nucleotide non-coding RNA. NCBI's taxonomy places the organism in Eukaryota, Metazoa, Arthropoda, Insecta, Diptera, Drosophilidae. The record is from RefSeq and is a predicted model, not a curated record.
UUGGUACACAUUGUAUAUUUGAAGAACUAUAUUCCCAUAGGGAUAUAGUUAGCGAUAUAAAUCCGAACUUAACUCUUAAGAGUAUAUAAAUUUCGGUACCCGACAUCUUAUAGUUAUUAUAUUAUUUUAAUAUAUUGUCGCGGAUCGAUUAUCGAUAGUUUAGUAUUAAGUAUUAUUAUUGAAAUCUGGUAUUGUGCCCUCAUGAAGAGAUUGGGCACACUAGGUAGAUAAUUGGUGAAUUUGGUGGUGAAUUUGUCGUCGAAAGCCAUGGAGUGUGGGAGGUUAUACUGCGAAUAAAACAUACAUAUAUACACGGAGCUACAUUGGUGUUUUAAGGCGGGUUGCCCCAUCG